UGACCAGUUGUCCCAGCACACACCUGCUGUGCAGGCAGGCCGGCCUCCCAGAGGUCCCCGAGACAAUGCCUUUCCUGUCUCUGUGCUUUGUGUCCAUGUCAUCCUCACACCCCACAAUCCCCCCUCUCAGUGCUUCCUUUGCUCAAGUCCCAAUCCUCCUCCUCCACCUGCCGCUGUUCCCAGUCAUCUCCCUGUCCUUCAGCUGCUUUUACCUUCAGCACCUACGCUGCACAGUGAAGCACCUGGCUGCUGUCCUCGGCAUUACCCGGCCUCCCCAGAUGGAGUGUUAGCUUGCUGUGGGAGCCCCGUGUCAUCCAACCCGACCAGCUAUGGACCAGCUCCUGUGCUGCAGAUUAAAUCAACUUGACAAAUGGACAUGAAGGAGAACCGUGAAGGGGAUGACUGAGGGAACGAUUGCCAGGA
Long non-coding RNA from Canis lupus familiaris (dog), 423 nucleotides. RefSeq lists it as uncharacterized. The record is from RefSeq and is a predicted model, not a curated record. NCBI's taxonomy places the organism in Eukaryota, Metazoa, Chordata, Mammalia, Carnivora, Canidae. The transcript is spliced from 4 exons.